This 549-nucleotide long non-coding RNA is filed under the name Salmo salar (Atlantic salmon). RNAcentral's name for it is "lncRNA (ENSSSAG00000090215.1)". The record is from RNAcentral. Lineage: Eukaryota; Metazoa; Chordata; Actinopteri; Salmoniformes; Salmonidae.
CAGCCCCUCUCCUCCUAGUAAUGAGGUAACGUAACAAUGUGGUAAUGCAUUAAUUUAGUAAUGAGGUAAUGAAGUCGUGCAGUAAUGUAGUAACAAGACGAUGCAUUAAUUUAGUAAUGAGGUAAUGAAGUCGUGCAGUAAUGUAGUAAUAAGACGAUGCAUUAAUUUAGUAAUGAGGUAAUGAAGUCGUGCAGUAAUGUAGUAACAAGACGAUGCAUUAAUUUAGUAAUGAGGUAAUGAAGUCGUGCAGUAAUGUGUGGGUCAGAGGAUAAGCAGUGAUAAUCCUGUGUGAUUGUUGUAGUUCUACGGAGGACAGCUGUGCUGCGGUCAGUCGGACACUUCAAAGGCUUACGGCUGCAGAAACAUAACUACACAGAUACUGAGUGCAGUGUCCCAAAUGGCAGCCUAUUCCCUAUAUAGUGAACUACUUUUGACCAGGACCUUAUGGAGGGUGCCAUUUGGGACAAAGGAUGAGAUUCUCAAACAACCUCUCACCGCCGAUAUGACAGGGGAGCUGAGGUUCUGCUGGGUUCUGCUGUACCAGCUGAG